RNAcentral lists this ribosomal RNA (253 nucleotides) under uncultured bacterium. Its description in RNAcentral is "partial 16S ribosomal RNA". It matches the Rfam family "Bacterial small subunit ribosomal RNA", at positions 524 to 776 of the family's 1533-position model. The record is from RNAcentral.
UACGUAGGGUGCGAGCGUUGUCCGGAAUUAUUGGGCGUAAAGGGCUCGUAGGCGGUUUGUCGCGUCGGGAGUGAAAACACCGGGCUUAACUCGGUGCUUGCUUUCGAUACGGGCAGACUAGAGGCAUGCAGGGGAGAACGGAAUUCCUGGUGUAGCGGUGAAAUGCGCAGAUAUCAGGAGGAACACCGGUGGCGAAGGCGGGUCUCUGGGCCGAUACUGACGCUGAGGAGCGAAAGCGUGGGGAGCAAACAGG